This is a non-coding RNA of Talpa occidentalis (Iberian mole), 1638 nucleotides long. Lineage: Eukaryota; Metazoa; Chordata; Mammalia; Eulipotyphla; Talpidae. The record is from the annotation of a RefSeq genome assembly.
AUGGGCCACGCAGAGGGACAGCCUGGCCACCCGAGGAGGACAGGACGGGGCUGCAACGGGCGAGGUGCCCCACGCCCGCCCCAGCCCAGGCCCCCGAGCCAGGGCGGCAGGGACGCAGGCCCCGGCUCCGGGGUGGGCAGCAGCGCCCUGCCGGGUGCCCGGGGUCUGCGCGGGGGCCCAGCGCCGGCCGCCCCGGGAGAGCGGGGCCCGGACAGGGGCGGGAGGGCCAGGGCGGCGGCCGUGCCCCGCCGGGAAGCCCCGCUCAGGGGGCUCGGGGCAGGGCCGGGCUGGGCCAGGGCGGGGCCCGGGACUCGGGCAGGACGGCCAUGCCCCGGGGGUCCCGCCGGCCCGGACCUCGGGGGCCGGGAGGGGCCGGGGUGGGCAGCCGGGCACGAGGGCGCCUCCGGCGGGGCCCGGCCUCACGCGCCUUCUCCCGCAGCCAAAACCACGGCGCCCAAGGUCUUCCCGCUGGCCCCCGCCUGCGGGCUCAGGAGCGGCUCCACGGUGGCGCUGGGCUGCCUGGUGUCCAACUACUUCCCUGAGCCGGCCACCGUGUCCUGGAAGGGGGGCGCCCUGUCCGGAACUGCCCGCACCUACCCGGCCGUGCUGCGCGCCUCGGGCCUCUACAGCCUCAGCAGCAUGGUGGCCGUGCCCGCCGGCAGCUGGCCCAGCCAGAAGUACACCUGCAGCGUCUCCCACCCGGCCAGCAGCACCACGGUGGACAAGGCCAUCGGGGGGGGGCACGCCGGCUCCGGGGGCUGACGCCGCUGUGUCCCCACAGCUCUGGACGUGGGGCCUUCCGUCUUCAUCUUCCCCCCGACACCCGAGGACACGCUCAAGAUCUCCCACACGCCCAAGGUCACGUGCAUGGUGGUGGACGUGAGCCUUGACAACCCCAAGGUCACGUUCAACUGGUUCGUGGACGGCACGGAGAAGACGGAGUUCGAGACGGAGUCCGAGGAGGAGCACAACAGCACCCUGCGCGUGGUCAGCCGGCUGCCCGUCGCGCACAAGGACUGGCUGGGCGGGAAGGAGUUCAGGUGCAAGGUCAACAACAAGGACCUGCCGAGCCCCGUCGAGAAGACCAUCACCAAGACCCAAGGCCCCCCCCAGCCGCCGCAGGUGUACGCGCUGCCCCCGCCCAAGGAGGAGCUGACCCAGAGCAAGGUGACGCUGACCUGCCUGCUGAGGGGCUUCUUCCCGGGCGACACGUACGUGGAGUGGCAGCAGAAGGGGCAGCCGGUGCCCGAGGACCGCUUCCACACCACGCCCCCCCAGGAGGACGGCGAGGGCCACUUCUUCCAGUACAGCAUGUUGCGGGUGAACAGAGACUCGUGGAAUGCGGGCGACACCUUCUCCUGCACCGUCAUGCACGAGGCCCUGCACAACCACUACACGGAGAAGACCAUCUCCAAGUCUGCCGAGCUGCUGCUGACCGACAGCUGUGAGGACGCCCAGGACGAAGAGCUGGACGGGCUGUGGACCACCCUGUCCAUCUUCAUCACCCUGUUCCUGCUCAGUGUGAGCUACAGUGCAGCUGUCACCCUCUUCAAGGUGAAGUGGAUCUUCUCAUCGGUGGUGGAGCUCAAGCAGACCAUCGUCCCCGACUACAGGAACAUGAUCGGGCAGGGGGCCUAG